AACCAACAGGGAUUGCCUCAGUAACGGCGAGUGAAGCGGCAUCAGCUCAAAUUUGAAAUCUGGCCCCGUCGGGGUCCGAGUUGUAAUUUGUAGAGAGUGUUUCGGGUGAGACCACGGUCUAAGUCUAUUGGAACAUGGCGUCAUAGAGGGUGAGAAUCCCGUAUGUGACCGUGGCUCGAGCUCAUGUGAAGCCUCUUCGACGAGUCGAGUUGUUUGGGAAUGCAGCUCAAAAUGGGUGGUAAAUUUCAUCUAAAGCUAAAUACUGGCUGGAGACCGAUAGCGCACAAGUAGAGUGAUCGAAAGAUGAAAAGCACUUUGGAAAGAGAGUCAAAAAGUACGUGAAAUUGUUGAAAGGGAAGCGCUUGCAACCAGACCUGUCCGUAGGUGAUCAGCCGCUGUUCUCAGCGGUGCACUCGCUCUGCGAUCAGGCCAGCAUCGGUUUCGGCGGUCGGAUAAAGGCCUUGGGAAUGUAGCUUCUUUCGGGGAGUCUUAUAGCCCUCGGUGCAAUGCGGCCAGCCGGGACCGAGGACCGCGCUUCGGCUAGGAUGCUGGCGUAAUGGUUGUAAGCGACCCGUCUUGAAACACGGACCAAGGAGUCUACCAUCUAUGCGAGUGUUUGGGUGUUAAACCCAUGCGCGGAAUGAAAGUGAACGGAGGUGAGAACCCUUUAGGGCGCAUCAUCGACCGAUCCAGAUGUCUUCGGAUGGAUUUGAGUAUGAGCAUAGCUGGUGGGACCCGAAAGAUGGUGAACUAUACUUGAAUAGGGUGAAGCCAGAGGAAACUCUGGUGGAGGCUCGCAGCGGUUCUGACGUGCAAAUCGAUCGUCAAAUUUGAGUAUAGGGG
RNAcentral lists this ribosomal RNA (843 nucleotides) under Usnea cornuta. RNAcentral describes it as "eukaryotic LSU rRNA". It matches the Rfam family "Eukaryotic large subunit ribosomal RNA", at positions 63 to 923 of the family's 3401-position model. Lineage: Eukaryota; Fungi; Ascomycota; Lecanoromycetes; Lecanorales; Parmeliaceae. The record is from RNAcentral.